UGGAGGAGCUGUGUCCCGGGCUAUAGUCCCCAGGAGGCCCCAAAUCCAACUUAAACUCACAACUCUUCUGUUGUAUGGUUUUCUUUAAGUGGCCGCUACUCUGGCUAACAGCUCCCAUUUACCUCAGAGGCUUCACACCCCUCCCCCAGAGCCUACAGUCUGCAACCUGGGACACAGAGGCCCCACACCUUUGCCUCUGGGCUACUGAGUGGGCAUUUGCACUGAGUCUCUGUUCAGUCAACCCCAAGGGAGAGAGGCCUCCAGUCUUGCAAUUCCUGCAGCCCACAGUCACCAGCAUGUCAUCCUGAGGAAGGCAGGUUCAUUCCAGGGGCGUAGUGUGCCUUAGAGCUGAGGGGUACUGAAACUGAUUUCCCAUGUCUGGGUCCUGAGAAUGGCCCUAACCCCACCCUGGUCAACUCUGGUCAUGGUAACUUUGUAUCCUGCCCCAUAGGAGGUUCAAAGUGAAUGCCAGAUCCACAGAGCAAGUUCCCAGGACUGGCCCUCUCUAUCGCAGCACCCACUCUGGGCUACUGAAUUCUGGAGAGAGGAGAGGGUUUCCCCUCACUGUGCCUAUGACAACUCCUUUACAUCCCUUUAAUCACCUCUGUCAUUUUCCAGACUCCAUCUCCUGGGGACAGCAGACUCAAUUCCUCCUCUCUCCCCAAAUUCCCACUCCUCCCGUCCCCUGCCACCAGGUCUCCCCUCCCCACUCAGGGGCCUCUUUAGCCCCUCCCCCAGCCCUACUCACAGGGCCUCACCCCAUUUGUGUCCUCUCACCCAGCACCCACGCUACCUCAGAAGAUCCCCUCAAGACCCUGCCUGCUCCCUGCAUUCUGCAGGACACCUGUCUCCCGCCCACAUGCAGGGUCUGUCAUAAAGUCCCUGUGAGGGCCGAACUGAAAAAUCUGUUCAGAAUCCAGAUAAAAUUCAGACCCAGACCAGCAGUCCAGGGCAGUUCCUGGAAGGAGAAGGAGAGGGGCUCUGAGAGGAGCAUCUGGUCUCAGAGUCCUGCAGGGGUGAAAAGCUAUUCUUCAAGGGUCCUAGUGAGGAUGAAGUGA
RNAcentral lists this long non-coding RNA (1058 nucleotides) under Ovis aries (sheep). RNAcentral describes it as "lncRNA (ENSOARG00000025364.1)". Lineage: Eukaryota; Metazoa; Chordata; Mammalia; Artiodactyla; Bovidae. The record is from RNAcentral.